This 253-nucleotide ribosomal RNA is filed under the name uncultured bacterium. Its description in RNAcentral is "partial 16S ribosomal RNA". It matches the Rfam family "Bacterial small subunit ribosomal RNA", at positions 524 to 776 of the family's 1533-position model. RNAcentral also lists the same sequence under 1 other name. The record is from RNAcentral.
GACGAACCGUGCGAACGUUGUUCGGAUUCACUGGGCUUAAAGGGCGCGUAGGCGGGCGACCAAGUCAGGGGUGAAAUCUUUCGGCCCAACCGGAAAAGUGCCCCUGAUACUGGCCGUCUCGAGGGGGGUAGGGGCAUGCGGAACUUCCGGUGGAGCGGUGAAAUGCGUAGAUAUCGGAAGGAACGCCGGUGGCGAAAGCGGCGUGCUGGACCCCUUCUGACGCUGAGGCGCGAAAGCCAGGGGAGCAAACGGG